This 441-nucleotide ribosomal RNA is filed under the name uncultured bacterium. Its description in RNAcentral is "partial 16S ribosomal RNA". It matches the Rfam family "Bacterial small subunit ribosomal RNA", at positions 338 to 795 of the family's 1533-position model. The record is from RNAcentral.
CCUACGGGCGGCUGCAGUCGGGAAUAUUGCGCAAUGGAGGAAACUCUGACGCAGGGACGCCGCGUGCAGGAAGAAGGUUUUCGGAUUGUAAACUGCUUUAGACAGGGAAGAAACAAGACAGUACCAGGAAAAUAAGCACAGGCAAAGUACGUGCCAGCAGCCGCGGUAAUACGGAGGGAGCAAGCGUGAUCAGGAUUUAUUGGGGGUAAAGGGGGCGGAGACGGGAAGUCAAGUGGGUUGUGCAAUCCCUCGGCUUAACUGCGGAACUUCAACCAAAACUACCUUUCUUGAGUGCUGGAGAGGCAAGUGGACUUCCUAGUGUCGCGGUUAUAUGCGUAGAUAUUAGGAGGAACCCCAGUGGCGAAGGCGACUUUCUGGACAGUAACUGACGUUGAGGCACGAAAGUGUGGGGAGCAAACAGGAUUAGAUACCCCAGUAGUC